Molecule: ribosomal RNA, 383 nt
Filed under: uncultured eukaryote
Lineage: Eukaryota
Description: partial 18S ribosomal RNA
Rfam family: Eukaryotic small subunit ribosomal RNA
Source: RNAcentral
UGUAAGCGUAUACCAAAGUUGUUGCAGUUAAAACGCUCGUAGUCGGACUUUGGCAGUUCCGGAUGUGUGCACGUCGUGUGCGCACUUCGCGGGGAUUGCUUUUGUGGUCUUGCGUAGGAUGAGGCACUUUUAUUAGUGAACGUCCUCACGCAACCACUUUUUACUGUGAGAAAAUCAGAGUGCUCAAAGCAGGCAUUUGCCGUGAAUGUAUUAGCAUGGAAUAAUAGAAUAGGACUUGGUUCUAUUUUGUUGGUUUGUUGGGACUGAGUAAUGAUUAAGAGGGACAGUUGGGGGCAUUUGUAUUUCGGUGCUAGAGGUGAAAUUCUUAGAUUACCGAAAGACAAACUGCUGCGAAAGCGUCUGCCAAGGAUGUUUUCAUUGAC